RNAcentral lists this ribosomal RNA (253 nucleotides) under uncultured bacterium. RNAcentral describes it as "partial 16S ribosomal RNA". It matches the Rfam family "Bacterial small subunit ribosomal RNA", at positions 524 to 776 of the family's 1533-position model. The record is from RNAcentral.
GACAGAGGGUGCAAGCGUUGUUCGGAAUUACUGGGCGUAAAGCGUGUGUAGGCGGCCGCGCAAGUCGGAUGUGAAAGCCCUGGGCUCAACCCAGGAAGUGCACCCGAUACUGCAUGGCUCGAGUACUGGAGAGGUUGGUGGAAUUCUCGGUGUAGAGGUGAAAUUCGUAGAUAUCGAGAGGAACACCGGUGGCGAAGGCGGCCAACUGGACAGAUACUGGCGCUGAGGCGCGAAAGCCAGGGGAGCAAACGGG